This 481-nucleotide ribosomal RNA is filed under the name uncultured Methanolinea sp. RNAcentral's name for it is "bacterial SSU rRNA". It matches the Rfam family "Archaeal small subunit ribosomal RNA", at positions 857 to 1338 of the family's 1478-position model. The record is from RNAcentral. Lineage: Archaea; Methanobacteriati; Methanobacteriota; Methanomicrobia; Methanomicrobiales; Methanoregulaceae.
CAAAGGAAUUGACGGGGAGCACCACAACAGGUGGAGCCUGCGGUUUAAUCGGACUCAACGCCGGGAAACUCACCAGAUAAGACAGCUGAAUGAUAGUCGGGCUGAAGACUCUACUUGACUAGCUGAGAGGAGGUGCAUGGCCGUCGUCAGUUCGUACUGUGAAGCAUCCUGUUAAGUCAGGCAACGAGCGAGACCCACGUCCACAGUUGCCAGCAUACCCUCCGGGGUGAUGGGUACACUGUGGAGACCGCCGCUGCUAAAGCGGAGGAAGGAAUGGGCAACGGUAGGUCAGUAUGCCCCGAAUCUCCCGGGCUACACGCGGGCUACAAUGGUUGGUACAAUGGGCAUCUACCCCGAAAGGGGAAGGAAAUCUCUUAAAGCCAAUCGUAGUUCGGAUUGAGGGCUGCAACUCGCUCUCAUGAAGCUGGAAUCCGUAGUAAUCGCGUUUCAACAGAACGCGGUGAAUACGUCCCUGCUCCUU